CCUACGGGGGGCUGCAGUGGGGAAUAUUGCGCAAUGGGCGAAAGCCUGACGCAGCGACGCCGCGUGAGGGAUGAAGGUCUUCGGAUCGUAAACCUCUGUCAGCAGGGAGGAACGGUCACUGUGCUAAUCAGCAGUGAAUUGACGGUACCUGCAAAGGAAGCACCGGCUAACUCCGUGCCAGCAGCCGCGGUAAGACGGAGGGGGCGAGCGUUAAUCGGAAUUACGGGGCGGAAAGCGCGCGUAGGCGGUAUGUCAAGUCAAGGGUGAAAUCCCCGCGCUCAACGUGGGAACUGCCUGUGACACUGUCAAACUGGAGUGUGUGAGAUGCUAGUGGAAUUCCAGGUGUAGGCG
This 351-nucleotide ribosomal RNA is filed under the name uncultured bacterium. Its description in RNAcentral is "partial 16S ribosomal RNA". It matches the Rfam family "Bacterial small subunit ribosomal RNA", at positions 338 to 681 of the family's 1533-position model. The record is from RNAcentral.